This 400-nucleotide ribosomal RNA is filed under the name uncultured bacterium. RNAcentral's name for it is "bacterial SSU rRNA". It matches the Rfam family "Bacterial small subunit ribosomal RNA", at positions 355 to 747 of the family's 1533-position model. The record is from RNAcentral.
UGGGGAAUAUUGGACAAUGGGCGCAAGCCUGAUCCAGCCAUGCCGCGUGUGUGAAGAAGGCCUUCGGGUUGUAAAGCACUUUCAGCGAGGAGGAAGGGUGGUGUGUUAAUAGCACAUCAUUUUGACGUUACUCGCAGAAGAAGCACCGGCUAACUCUGUGCCAGCAGCCGCGGUAAUACAGAGGGUGCAAGCGUUAAUCGGAAUUACUGGGCGUAAAGCGCACGUAGGCGGUUUUUUAAGUCAGAUGUGAAAGCCCCGGGCUCAACCUGGGAAUUGCAUUUGAAACUGGGGAACUAGAGUGUGUGAGAGGGGGGUAGAAUUCCAAGUGUAGCGGUGAAAUGCGUAGAGAUUUGGAGGAAUACCAGUGGCGAAGGCGGCCCCCUGGCACAACACUGACGCU